CAUCAACACCGCUUUCACUGCAAUCAGCAUUCCGUCACUGGAUAACACUUCCCAACGUACUCUGAAACAGCUCCGCACGUUUAGGUACAAGAGAAUGGGGUUGCCAAACCUCUAGAAUUGGCCUGAAGUCUUCAAAAAUUGGAAACCAAUCUCCAGGACACUACUGCGUGCAAGCUUAGAGAAAGAUCAUGAAGGUGUAGGAGUGCAGUGAGUCCCAAGAGUGUUGAUCUGGAGCAUGGACUAAGUCAUGUGAUGAAACCUCGAGGAAUCCAUUUAACCAUAGUUCAUAGCUGCCAACAAAAGUCACCAGAAGUUCCAAGCUGAACUCAAUCUAAGCAGU
Long non-coding RNA from Rhincodon typus (whale shark), 340 nucleotides. RefSeq lists it as uncharacterized. Lineage: Eukaryota; Metazoa; Chordata; Chondrichthyes; Orectolobiformes; Rhincodontidae. The transcript has 3 exons. The record is from RefSeq and is a predicted model, not a curated record.